Dermacentor albipictus is the source of this 600-nucleotide non-coding RNA. NCBI's taxonomy places the organism in Eukaryota, Metazoa, Arthropoda, Arachnida, Ixodida, Ixodidae. The record is from RefSeq and is a predicted model, not a curated record.
UUUUUUUCUCUUAUGAUCCGCAGUUAAAAAUUCUCUUUCUGUGCCCGCGAACGUUUCGACGAUGUCGGAAAAACUUAGGAAAUGGUACAAGGCGUGCUUUGCUGCUGAGUGGUGUGGAAACUUCGCGACGAACACACUGGCAAAUUGUUUGCCGUUUGCCACCGAACGAGAGGCAAGCACACUUUUUUUAACAGUCGUUCUGAAGAAACAAAAUCUAUCCACAUCAAAACAGCUAUAGGAUGAAACGAAAUAUAUUCCGCGACUGCUUUGUAAUGUGUCAUAAAGCAAAGCUAUGCUAAAUAGUGAAUCUUGGAGAAGCUAGCCUGAGACCAGAGCCAGUAGCACGGCUACCGCCUCUCCUUCGGACCACUUCCCAAAACGUCUACGCCGACCCUGCUAAAAGAAGACUGCUGCGGUUGGCUCUGUUGACUGUUCGAAUGUGAUAGCAGUCCCUGAUCGACCAAGGUAGCGCCCAUCCCCGGAACGCCGUUUUCGGUCUCAAUCGACGUGGCGCCUUGCAUGUUCUUUCCAGCGUUCGUCAGCCUCUAGAACGAGCCAACGAAAGGGCCCUCAACCGUCACACGAUCACGUAAACGCGGA